AUUUUUCACAUAUAAUAAUUAACCCAUAUACUCAACUAUUAUGCAACAACUUCAAACAUGGAUAAGUGAGAAUCUCACUUUAUUUUCCCCAACUUAUUUUCUUUCCUUCCCUUUUUUCAUACAUCCAAACAGAGGCUUAAAGAGAAAGAUGCAAAAAGGACAAGUAGCUGAGGAGUAGAGGACUUGAAGAAAGCAUUGAUUUGAAUGACUACAUUGUAGCUUAUUUGGUGGGUAAAUUUCACCCAUCGUCCAUAAACUUAGAGCAUUGUAAAAGCGUCAUCCUUGAGCUUUAAUUUCUAAUAUAAAACACCUUAAACUUUAAUUUAAUAAACAAUAAACUUCAUAUGACCUAUUAUUGCCAGUUUAUAGGUAAACAGCGCGUAGUAGAU
Molecule: unclassified non-coding RNA, 389 nt
Filed under: Hevea brasiliensis (rubber tree)
Lineage: Eukaryota; Viridiplantae; Streptophyta; Magnoliopsida; Malpighiales; Euphorbiaceae
Source: RNAcentral